AGCAUGUUAUAUGACUGACGGAAGUGGAGUAUACCACAUGAAGUAUAACGAGAAGAUGCCGACCGUCUGGGCGAUUUAG
Molecule: non-coding RNA, 79 nt
Filed under: Clostridium sp.
Lineage: Bacteria; Bacillati; Bacillota; Clostridia; Eubacteriales; Clostridiaceae
Also listed under: 1 other name
Description: ZTP sequence
Rfam family: ZMP/ZTP riboswitch aptamer (pfl RNA motif)
About the family: Previously known as pfl RNA. ZMP is also known as AICAR.
Source: RNAcentral